CUUGAAAGUGACAAGUGCACAUGAGAAAUUGGAUAGUUCUCAAGCUUUUGCCCAC
This is a non-coding RNA of Caenorhabditis elegans, 55 nucleotides long. NCBI's taxonomy places the organism in Eukaryota, Metazoa, Nematoda, Chromadorea, Rhabditida, Rhabditidae. The record is from Ensembl.